ACUGCAUGCCUUAGUACGGCGAGUGAAGCGGCAAAAGCUCAAAUUUGAAAUCUGGCACCUUCGGUGUCCGAGUUGUAAUUUGAAGAAGGUAACUUUGGAGUUGGCUCUUGUCUAUGUUCCUUGGAACAGGACGUCACAGAGGGUGAGAAUCCCGUGCGAUGAGAUGCCCAAUUCUAUGUAAAGUGCUUUCGAAGAGUCGAGUUGUUUGGGAAU
This 213-nucleotide ribosomal RNA is filed under the name uncultured fungus. Its description in RNAcentral is "partial 26S ribosomal RNA". It matches the Rfam family "Eukaryotic large subunit ribosomal RNA", at positions 70 to 281 of the family's 3401-position model. Lineage: Eukaryota; Fungi. The record is from RNAcentral.